UCUGAUUAUUUUGAUUAUGUGUCUUGCCAUUGUUGUUAUAUAGAAUAUCAACCGAUAGAUACAGAGCUGACAUCGCAAAUAAACUGUACAACAGCAAAUAAAACAUUCAAAAUAUUAUGUAAGGCAGACGCAUCACCAUCAGUGCAAUACUUCAUCCAACAAGGGAACAAAACAAUGGUCAAUUCCUCUGAUGGUAACGCCACAAUUACUACAUCAGAGAAUGGAUAUCUUAAUUUCAGUUGUAGUGCAAAGAACAAAUAUGGACAAGGAAAAACAGCGCAUCUUGAAAUACCAAUCUGUCGAGAUAACUUGGAAGAUAAUGGUAUGUCUUUAUGUGAUCAACACGAUCAACACAUUUGAACCUUAAACUCAUUAGAUUUAAAACUGAGUACUUUACAUGUGCAUUAAUCCACUGAAGAAAGAAUGGAUAGUUUGAUAUUUUGUUUGCUCACUUCACAACAGUCAAUCAGAAUAAGCAAAGCAAUUCAAUCAACAUUUAGAAUUAAAAGAGGCAUUAGAACA
This is a long non-coding RNA of Actinia tenebrosa (Australian red waratah sea anemone), 522 nucleotides long. NCBI's taxonomy places the organism in Eukaryota, Metazoa, Cnidaria, Anthozoa, Actiniaria, Actiniidae. The record is from RefSeq and is a predicted model, not a curated record.